RNAcentral lists this ribosomal RNA (470 nucleotides) under uncultured bacterium. Its description in RNAcentral is "bacterial SSU rRNA". It matches the Rfam family "Bacterial small subunit ribosomal RNA", at positions 1059 to 1529 of the family's 1533-position model. The record is from RNAcentral.
CUCGUGUUGUGAAAUGUUGGGUUAAGUCCCGCAACGAGCGCAACCCUUAUCCUUUGUUGCCAGCGGUCCGGCCGGGAACUCAAAGGAGACUGCCAGUGAUAAACUGGAGGAAGGUGGGGAUGACGUCAAGUCAUCAUGGCCCUUACGACCAGGGCUACACACGUGCUACAAUGGCGCAUACAAAGAGAAGCGACCUCGCGAGAGCAAGCGGACCUCAUAAAGUGCGUCGUAGUCCGGAUUGGAGUCUGCAACUCGACUCCAUGAAGUCGGAAUCGCUAGUAAUCGUGGAUCAGAAUGCCACGGUGAAUACGUUCCCGGGCCUUGUACACACCGCCCGUCACACCAUGGGAGUGGGUUGCAAAAGAAGUAGGUAGCUUAACCUUCGGGAGGGCGCUUACCACUUUGUGAUUCAUGACUGGGGUGAAGUCGUAACAAGGUAACCGUAGGGGAACCUGCGGCUGGAUCACCUC